RNAcentral lists this ribosomal RNA (253 nucleotides) under uncultured bacterium. RNAcentral's name for it is "partial 16S ribosomal RNA". It matches the Rfam family "Bacterial small subunit ribosomal RNA", at positions 524 to 776 of the family's 1533-position model. The record is from RNAcentral.
UACGAAGGGUGCAAGCGUUGUUCGGAUUUAUUGGGCGUAAAGCGCGCGCAGGCGGAUCAGCAAGUCAGAUGUGAAAUCUCAGGGCUCAACCCUGAAACUGCGUCUGAAACUGCUAGUCUAGAGUGUCGGAGGGGACAGGGGAAUUUCACGUGUAGGGGUAAAAUCCGUAGAGAUGUGAAGGAACACCGGAGGCGAAGGCGCCUGUCUAGACGACUACUGACGCUGAGGCGCGAAAGCGUGGGGAGCAAACAGG